Molecule: non-coding RNA, 283 nt
Organism: Pelobates cultripes (western spadefoot toad)
Lineage: Eukaryota; Metazoa; Chordata; Amphibia; Anura; Pelobatidae
Source: the annotation of a GenBank genome assembly
UGUGUUUAUAUAAUGCAGUGUGUGUUUGUAUAGUGUAUGUAUAUAAUUCAGUGUGUUUGUAUAGUGUGUGUGUUUGUAUAGUGUGUGUGUAUAAUGCAGUGUGUGUUUGUGUAGUGUGUUUAUAUAAUGCAGUGUGUGUUUGUAUAGUGUGUGUAUAUAAUUCAGUGUGUUUGUAUAGUGUGUGUGUAUAUAAUGCAGUGUGUGUGUUUGUAUGGUGUGUGUGUAUAAUGCAGUGUGUUUGUGUAGUGUGUGUGUGUAUAUAAUGCAGUGUGUGUGUUUGUAU